This 107-nucleotide small nuclear RNA is filed under the name Catagonus wagneri (Chacoan peccary). The record is from RNAcentral. Lineage: Eukaryota; Metazoa; Chordata; Mammalia; Artiodactyla; Tayassuidae.
GUGAUAGAUUCAGCAGCACAUUUACUAAAAUAGGCAUGGUACAGAGAAGAUAAGCAUGGCUUCUGUGCAAGGAUGACGUGCACAUUUGUGAAGUAUUCCAUAUUUUA